RNAcentral lists this ribosomal RNA (501 nucleotides) under uncultured bacterium. RNAcentral's name for it is "partial 16S ribosomal RNA". It matches the Rfam family "Bacterial small subunit ribosomal RNA", at positions 29 to 523 of the family's 1533-position model. The record is from RNAcentral.
AUUGAACGCUGGCGGCAUGCCUUACACAUGCAAGUCGAACGGCAGCACGGGUGCUUGCACCUGGUGGCGAGUGGCGAACGGGUGAGUAAUACAUCGGAACGUACCUUAUCGUGGGGGAUAACGCAGCGAAAGCUGUGCUAAUACCGCAUACGCCCUGAGGGGGAAAGCGGGGGAUCGAAAGACCUCGCGCGAUUAGAGCGGCCGAUGCCUGAUUAGCUUGUUGGUGGGGUAAAAGCCCACCAAGGCGACGAUCAGUAGCUGGUCAGAGAGGACGAUCAGCAACACUGGGACUGAGACACGGCCCAGACUCCUACGGGAGGCAGAAGUGGGGAAUUUUGGACAAUGGGGGCAACCCUGAUCCAGCAAUGCCGCGUGAGUGAAGAAGGCCUUCGGGUUGUAAAGCUCUUUUGUCAGGGAAGAAACACCGGCUCUAACACAGUCCGGGAAUGACGGUACCUGAAGAAUAAGCACCGGCUAACUACGUGCCAGCAGCCGCGGUAA